RNAcentral lists this long non-coding RNA (1496 nucleotides) under Mus musculus (house mouse). RNAcentral describes it as "long non-coding RNA chr18:62937671-62939167". Lineage: Eukaryota; Metazoa; Chordata; Mammalia; Rodentia; Muridae. The record is from RNAcentral.
UGAUGCCCAUCAACAAUAACUCCAGCAUCCCAGAAGCUCAGCCCAGAGGACAACAUGAGGGUCAUGAGGGGUACCAUAACCACUAUGCUGGGAAAGACCCCCAUCAGCAGCACACCCCAACUUUGGAGAAGAUAGGACAAACAGUGGGAAGGAACAAUGCUGUCCCAUAGGACCUUAGACUUCCCUGUGGUCAUUUACCUGUUCCUGUUUCCAGGUUGCCAAUGGCUUCCUGAGACAUGCUAUCGUUACCCUGUGAGGUUCUUGGGUCAGGUGCCUUUGUUCUACACUUGGUGAAUUUUAGUGCCAACAGUUGAACCAAAUCUCUUUCUUCAAGACUCCAUCUUCCUUUUUAUUAAAUGACUGUGAUUAGAAGGGGGAGGGAAGAAGGCAGGAAGCAAUUAAAUCAUAUAAUUCUCAUUAUUUGAGUUAUGUUCUGGUAGUAUUUGGAAUUCACAAGACGUUUCCUCCCCCACGCUCCAAGUCAUGUCAGUUGAUGUCUUGUGGUUAUGGGCUUGGGCUAGCAGACAGAUUCAAGCUUGUAGGAGCAGCCAGGCAAUUUUUCUCCAUAGUGUCCACCAGCCCUGCUAGCCCUGUUGGCCUUGGUGGACCAUAGCUAAGAACAGUGGAUCUGGCUGACUUUUCUUCAUUAAUCAAAGUCUUCUUUAUAGGUCCCACUGAGUUUACUCAUCACUAAUCAAGCGCCUCAGAGACUUCUCCGAUGGAGAUGGUGCAGGGCUGCCUGUCUUUCCAUCCGCUUUUGUAUGCUCAUGCACAGGCGCUUAACUAAAUAAUCAUCUUCGUUAAAACUAUGAAAAUGAUGUCCUGUGUGCAAGGUGGUGCCUCAUGGAGGCCCAGAGCGCACAAGCUCGCACAAGCCCGGAUUGCCUGGGGUGAUGGUGCACUGCUGUAGGCAGCUUACCAGCAGGACCAGCAGGGCUCCUGGAGCUUCCUUCCCACAUGGAGGAGGAGGAGGAAGGUCCCUUGUGCUCUGUCCUUAAAGUUCAGAAGUACCAAGAAGCAAGGGAAGCUGUGGUACCCAAGGAAGGCCUGGUAUCCUCUUACUGCGAUGGGCAAGAGACCUACAGCUCCAUCCCUACAUGGUGUAGGAACUGCUUAGCAGGGUGCUGCCUGCUUCUGGGGGCGUGGUUCUAGACCAGGCUUCAGUAGAUCUUUUAGAAAAGCAGGUAAGGACUGCUGGCUUCCAUUUCUGUUCUGAGUCCCGACUGGAAGGUAGCGCCAUCUCUAUUCUGCAGUGAGCGUCACAGACGGUACCAUCUUGCUUCGAAUUGGAUUACAAAUGGAGGGAAGGAGGGGUCAUUUCACACCUACAUGUGAGGUGUCCUUUGAGUAAAGAAUGACUGACUGAUUUCAUGUGGUCUGGGUUGUCCACCAACACUCCCUUAGCCAGGGACAUGCCUGUUCUGUCACUCCAAACCAUCUUGGCAAUCUGCCAAGCAGGCAGGGUCAUUGUCAUGCCCUGCACCCCUUUCAGUGAG